RNAcentral lists this ribosomal RNA (326 nucleotides) under uncultured eukaryote. RNAcentral describes it as "partial 18S ribosomal RNA". It matches the Rfam family "Eukaryotic small subunit ribosomal RNA", at positions 1470 to 1796 of the family's 1831-position model. The record is from RNAcentral.
CCCUUAGAUGUUCUGGGCCGCACGCGCGCUACACUGAAGGGAUCAGCGUGUUUUCCCUUUCCGAGAGGAACGGGUAACCCGCUGAACCCCCUUCGUGGUAGGGAUCGGAGCUUGCAAUUGUUCUCCGUGAACCAGGAAUUCCCAGUAAGCGCAAGUCAUAAGCUUGCGUUGAUUACGUCCCUGCCCUUUGUACACACCGCCCGUCGCUACUACCGAUUGAACGUUUUAGUGAGGUAUUUGGACUGGGCCUUGGGAGGUUUCGACCUCCCUUGUUGCUCGGAAAGACUCCCAAACUUGAGCGUUUAGAGGAAGUAAAAGUCGUAACA